RNAcentral lists this ribosomal RNA (264 nucleotides) under uncultured bacterium. RNAcentral describes it as "partial 16S ribosomal RNA". It matches the Rfam family "Bacterial small subunit ribosomal RNA", at positions 793 to 1055 of the family's 1533-position model. The record is from RNAcentral.
GUCCACGCCGUAAACGAUGGGUGCUAGGUGUCGCGGGCUUUGACUCCUGCGGUGCCGUAGCUAACGCAUUAAGCACCCCGCCUGGGGAGUACGGCCGCAAGGCUAAAACUCAAAGGAAUUGACGGGGCCCGCACAAGCGGUGGAGCAUGUGGUUUAAUUCGACGCAACGCGCAGAACCUUAUCUGGGCUAGAAAAUGCAGAGACCUGGUCGAAAGGUCGGGUGCUCUUCGGAGAAUCUGUAGUUAGGUGCUGCAUGGCUGUCGU